GGGGAUGCAAUGGCUUCGACGGGGGUUGAGACCCUCGGUAAGCGGGUAGCGGUCGCAGGUCACGCUUAAAAAACUGUAAACUUAAAAAUAAACGACAACAAUAAAGUUGCCUUAGCAGCUUAAUGCUGCUCGUCUUACCUAUGACCACCGCGACAUAGGAUAAGGCGUCGAUUAGCGGUAAAGGUGAACAGAGAAGUGUCUCGGUCUCUGUCAUCAAUCUGAGGCUUGCCUUUAAGCUAUCCUGUUGUUGGGAGAGCCUACAGGGACUUUUAAUACAGCAACUACACCCGUAGAAAGCCGUGGCAAUCGAUUUUCGGACGCGGGUUCGAUUCCCGCCAUCUCCACCA
This 347-nucleotide transfer-messenger RNA is filed under the name Ruminococcus sp. It matches the Rfam family "transfer-messenger RNA". From Rfam's summary of the family: Bacterial tmRNA, also known as 10Sa RNA or SsrA, is named for its dual tRNA and mRNA-like properties. Lineage: Bacteria; Bacillati; Bacillota; Clostridia; Eubacteriales; Oscillospiraceae. The record is from RNAcentral.